This 253-nucleotide ribosomal RNA is filed under the name uncultured bacterium. RNAcentral's name for it is "partial 16S ribosomal RNA". It matches the Rfam family "Bacterial small subunit ribosomal RNA", at positions 524 to 776 of the family's 1533-position model. The record is from RNAcentral.
UACGUGGGGCGCGAGCGUUGUUCGGAAUUACUGGGCGUAAAGCGCGUGUAGGCGGCCUAUUAUGUCAGGUGUGAAAGCCCUCGGCCUAACCGAGGAAGUGCGCCGGAAACUGGUAGGCUAGAGUACGAGAGAGGAGGACGGAAUUCCCAGUGUAGAGGUGAAAUUCGUAGAUAUUGGGAGGAACACCGGCGGCGAAAGCGGUUCUCUGGAUCGAUACUGACGCUAAGACGCGAAAGCGUGGGGAGCAAACAGG